Molecule: non-coding RNA, 1458 nt
Organism: Podarcis lilfordi (Lilford's wall lizard)
Lineage: Eukaryota; Metazoa; Chordata; Lepidosauria; Squamata; Lacertidae
Source: the annotation of a GenBank genome assembly
GCCACUACGCUCCCUUUCCUUGUUACCAUCGGGUCAGACUAUAUGCCUCGUCUGCCUGACACCAGCUCUUCAGGGUCUCAGCCAGAGACCUGUUUUUCCCUUCCCCCACUCCUUGAACCUUUCCACUGGAGAUAUAGCGCAAAGUGAACCAGGUGUUAAGGUUCCCUCCCUGAAGAAACCAUAGCUCAGCAAACUGGUAUAUCCUAUUGCAGGGAUGUCCAACCAGUAGAUCCCCGGCUGAUCCUGGUAAAUCGCGGGAUCCUUAUCGCAUACAAAAAGUUACAGGGGGCGGAGCUAAAAAUGGCCCAGUUGCAUCCUAAAGGAGAUUAGGAGGAGUGACCAGAGUCAGGCACCACAUAAACCCACUGGCACCGCCAUUUGAACUGCAUGGAUGGCUGUAAGGUAGUCUCUAUGUGAGUAUGCUGUAUUUAAUUAUGGGGUAUCAAAAGGUUUUGGGGGGGGGACGCUGGUGGCACUGUGGGUUAAACCACAGAGCCUAGGACUUGCCGAUCAGAAGGUCGGCUGUUCGAAUCCCCGUGACAGGGUGAGCUCCCGUUGCUCGGUCCCUGCUCCUGCCAACCUAGCAGUUCGAAAGCACGUCAAAGUGGAAGUAGAUAAAUAGGUACUGCUCUGGCGUUUCCGUGCGCCGCUCUGGUUCGCCAGAAGCGGCUUAGUCAUGCUGGCCACAUGACCCGGAAGCUGUACGCUGGCUCCCUCGGCCAAUAAAGCGAGAUGAAUGCCGCAACUCCAGAGUCGGUCACGACUGGACCUAAUGGUCAGGAGUCCCUUUACCUUUAUCAAGAGUUUUUAGGGGGUCAAGCAGGCUGGGAUAGCAGGCUUGUUGCUUUCUGAAUGUCUGGUGUAGAUUUUUUCAAUUUCGUUGUUCUGUAUGGGACAAUGACAAUAAAGACUAUAGUAUUGUAUCGUGUUGUCGCUCAGGCGCUGGUCCCAGUCAGCAGGAUCUCUGCUUGGUGCAAUGUAAGUCCGGCGCAGUUUAAAUCUGCGCCCCAGAUGCUACAACAGCAGCAAGAAUACUUAUUGCAAAGCAUUGGAAGACACAAGAUCUACCCACACUGGAGGAAUGGCAGAUGAAAAUGAUGGACUACAUGGAAUUGGCGGAAAUGACUGGUAGAAUCCGAGACCAGGGAGAAGAGUCGGUGGAAGAAGAUUGGAAGAAAUUUAAAGACUACUUACAGAAAUAUUGUAAAAUUAAUGAAUGUUAGAAUGAUGUUGGAUUGAAGUUAAGUGGUUUCUGGCUGUAAUGGUAUAAAAGAAUAUGGAAAAUUGGUUUUUAAUAUCUAAAAAUUUAAUGUUAUAAUAUAUCAAGAUUAAAGAUCAGGAUUAAAAAGGAGGGAAAGGAAUUGCUGGACUAACAAAUUGAAUUAGAAUACAAAAGAGGGAGGUAUGAGGAGGUCCGGGAAACAAGUAAAUGUAAAAGAAGUGAUGAAAAGAUGAAAU